CUACGGGGCGCAGCAGUGGGGAAUAUUGGACAAUGGGGGAAACCCUGAUCCAGCAAUGCCGCGUGUGUGAAGAAGGCCUGCGGGUUGUAAAGCACUUUCGGUUGGGAGGACUGCUUCUAGCACUAAUAUUGUUGGAAGUUGACGUUACCUUCAGAAGAAGCACCGGCUAACUCCGUGCCAGCAGCCGCGGUAAUACGGAGGGUGCAUGCGUUAAUCGGAGUUACUGGGCGUAAAGCGCGCGUAGGCGGCUAGAUCAGUCGGGUGUGAAAGCCCCGGGCUUAACCUGGGAACUGCAUCCGAUACUGUCUAGCUUGAGUACAGGAGAGGAGAGUGGAAUUCCACAUGUAGCGGUGAAAUGCGUAGAUAUGUGGAGGAACACCAAUGGCGAAGGCAGCUCUCUGGCCUGAUACUGACGCUGAGGUGCGAAAGCGUGGGGAGCAAACAGGAUUAGAUACCCCAGUAGUC
This 465-nucleotide ribosomal RNA is filed under the name uncultured bacterium. RNAcentral's name for it is "partial 16S ribosomal RNA". It matches the Rfam family "Bacterial small subunit ribosomal RNA", at positions 339 to 795 of the family's 1533-position model. The record is from RNAcentral.